CCUUUGCUAUCUUUGAAGCACCCCGACGAGACGCGUCGUACCGGGUUACGACAAGACGACGCACC
This 65-nucleotide non-coding RNA is filed under the name Streptomyces sp. RNAcentral also lists the same sequence under 1 other name. The record is from RNAcentral. Lineage: Bacteria; Bacillati; Actinomycetota; Actinomycetes; Kitasatosporales; Streptomycetaceae.